CGGGGAUUCAAGGGUUACCUUGUGUUGGUAAAAUUAUGAUUAAAUGACUGAACAAAUCAUUUUAAAUGGAACUGUAACUAAGUAAACUUAUACUCUGUUUUAUUAUAUCUGAUUAACAAUAUGAGUUCAUACGAUGGUAAGACAGUGAGUGCAUUCCUAAGUUUUCUGUUAAUUAGAACUGUCAGCUCAGUGGUGAUCGAUAAUGUUGAGGGGUCAAAAGUUACCUGGGAGUGUGUUAGUAAGUUAGAAUGAACUUUUCACCUCACUUUGUCCCGGUCGAGAGGAGGGGAUUCUGUUAAAGCAAUGAAAUGAUGUCAUGAUUUGUAUAUAAACUGUUGCUCGUGGUGAAAUGGGAGCGCGCUCUGAGAAUAAAUUCUGUUACCUAUUAUUUAAAAAGACUGGUCUCCUUCUAUUUUAUGCAAACAAGAAUCUUACAAAUUCUCAUAAAAUAGAUUAAGGGUAUUCAAUUAAUGAAAGCACAUUGGCAUAAUUAAAUUAUAUUAACACCUUGUGACCAAGGACUGCCGGGGGUUCAAAGGGGGAACCUGGAGAGCCCAGUCCCAAAGGAAGCCAAGUACAAAACAACACGUGUGUUUAGUCCUUUUGCUUUUUAGAUGUGUUCAUGACUUAUAUUUUAAGAAACAGCAGUUAAUGGUGUUUUCAUUUUUCAUCGUCACCCUCCCAUUCUCUUUCUCUGGGGUGAGAGGGGGAAUAACGGUGUGCCUGAGACCCCUGGGACAAGCGGUGAAACUGGGCUCAGAGGCAGCAAAGGAGAGGUCUACAGGCUGCUCGUUAUGGCGCACACCUGUUACCAUCGUUACGCGCACCUGCACGUCGUCAGACUCACCUGGACUCCAUCACUUCGUUGAUUACCUGCCCUAUAUAUGUCACUCCCUUUGGUUCCUUCCCCAGUCGUCAUUGUUUCUGUUUCAUGUCUGUGUGUGUGUUGUCCAAGGUUCUUGUUUUGUAUUAUGUUCUGUUUGUUUUCUUAAACAUUUUUGCGUUUUUUUUUUUUUGGUCAGGCUCUCAUGCCUCAGCCAGAUCGACAGGCUCAGGAUCGUCCCUUGGGUUGGCAUCCUGCGGCUGGUGCCGAACACGCCGGGGAGGGGGUACCGUCAGUUAUGCUCUCUCUCCGGCUCUCUAGGUCGCCAUGCUCCUGCGUCUCAGCCGGAUAGAGUUUCCUGUGCCUCUGCAGAGGUGUCCGGUCCGCUCCUGUUCUCCGGGAUCGUCACUUUGGGUGGCGUUCUGCAGCUGGAGCCGCACGUCGGGAAGGGGGAAGGGGAUACUGUCAUGUGUGCUCCCUCUCCGACCUCUAGGUCACCAGGCUGCUCGUUAAGGCGAGGUUCUUGUUUUGUAUUAUGUUCUGUUUUAUUUUAUUAAAACACUCACUCUCUGAACUUGCUUCCCGACUCUAAGUGCACGUCGUUACUCACUCUCUCACACACUCACACACAGUAUCUUCUGUUUUGCAUUUGAGUAUAUGCAAUGACCCC
Molecule: long non-coding RNA, 1493 nt
Organism: Oncorhynchus tshawytscha (Chinook salmon)
Lineage: Eukaryota; Metazoa; Chordata; Actinopteri; Salmoniformes; Salmonidae
Source: Ensembl